UGGGGAAUUUUGGACAAUGGGGGAAACCCUGAUCCAGCCAUCCCGCGUGUGCGAUGAAGGCCUUCGGGUUGUAAAGCACUUUUGGCAGGAAAGAAACGUCAUGGGUUAAUACCCCGUGAAACUGACGGUACCUGCAGAAUAAGCACCGGCUAACUACGUGCCAGCAGCCGCGGUAAUACGUAGGGUGCAAGCGUUAAUCGGAAUUACUGGGCGUAAAGCGUGCGCAGGCGGUUCGGAAAGAAAGAUGUGAAAUCCCAGAGCUCAACUUUGGAACUGCAUUUUUAACUUCAGGGCUAGAGUGUGUCAGAGGGAGGUGGAAUUCCGCGUGUAGCAGUGAAAUGCGUAGAUAUGCGGAGGAACACCGAUGGCGAAGGCAGCCUCCUGGGAUAACACUGAAGCUCAUGCACGAAAGCGUGGGGAGCAAACAGG
This 429-nucleotide ribosomal RNA is filed under the name Acidobacteriota bacterium. RNAcentral's name for it is "Acidobacteria bacterium partial 16S ribosomal RNA". It matches the Rfam family "Bacterial small subunit ribosomal RNA", at positions 355 to 776 of the family's 1533-position model. The record is from RNAcentral. Lineage: Bacteria; Pseudomonadati; Acidobacteriota.